This 497-nucleotide ribosomal RNA is filed under the name uncultured bacterium. Its description in RNAcentral is "partial 16S ribosomal RNA". It matches the Rfam family "Bacterial small subunit ribosomal RNA", at positions 28 to 507 of the family's 1533-position model. The record is from RNAcentral.
GAUGAACGCUGGCGGCGUGCCUAACACAUGCAAGUCGAGCGAACAGACGAGGAGCUUGUUCCUCUGACGUUAGCGGCGGACGUGUGAGUAACACGUGGAUAACCUCCCUAUAAAACUGGGAUCACUUCGGGACACUGGAGCUAAUCCUGGAUAAUAUAUUGAUCCGCAUGGUUCAUUAGCCAAUGACGGCUUUUCUGUCUCGUAUCGAUGGUUCCCCGCCUCAUUAGCUAGUUGGUAAGGUAACGGCCUUCCAAGGCGGCGAUGCGUGUCUGACCUGAGAGUGUGAUCCGCCCCACUGGACCUGAGACGCGCUCCUGACUCCUACGCGAGGCCGCGGUUGGCUAUCGUCCGCAGUAGGCGGAAGACUGCCGGAGCGGCCCCGGGUGAGUGAUGAAGGUCCACGGUUCGUAAAACCCUGUUAUUAGGGAAUAACAACUUUGUAAGUAAAUAAGCACUUCUUGACGGUACUUAAUCAGAAAGCCCCGGCUAACUACGUG